This 1593-nucleotide unclassified non-coding RNA is filed under the name Hevea brasiliensis (rubber tree). The record is from RNAcentral. Lineage: Eukaryota; Viridiplantae; Streptophyta; Magnoliopsida; Malpighiales; Euphorbiaceae.
AUUGUUCAGCCUGAAGGUCCAAGCUUUCGUGUCAAUGGAUACUUUGUUGAAUGGCAAAAGUGGAAUUUUCGCAUUGGAUUCACUCCCAGAGAGGGUUUGGUUUUACAUUCUGUUGCAUAUGUUGAUGGUAGCAGGGGGCGGAGACCUGUUGCCCAUAGGUUAAGCUUUGUAGAGAUGGUUGUGCCUUAUGGAGAUCCAAAUGAUCCUCAUUAUCGGAAAAAUGCUUUUGAUGCCGGGGAAGAUGGCCUUGGUAAAAAUGCACAUUCUCUUAAAAAGGGGUGUGAUUGUUUGGGCCAUAUCAAAUACUUUGAUGCCCACUUUACAAACUUCACAGGAGGCAUUGAAACAAUUGAAAAUUGUGUAUGCUUGCAUGAAGAGGAUCAUGGAAUUUUAUGGAAGCAUCAAGACUGGAGAACUGGCUUAGCAGAAGUACGAAGGUCUAGACGGCUCACAGUUUCUUUUAUAUGUACAGUUGCUAAUUAUGAGUAUGGAUUCUAUUGGCACUUCUAUCAGGAUGGAAAAAUUGAAGCAGAAGUUAAACUUACAGGAAUCCUCAGCUUGGGAGCAUUACAACCAGGAGAUAUUCGAAAAUAUGGCACAACCAUUGCUCCUGGUCUAUAUGCACCAGUUCAUCAACAUUUCUUUGUUGCUCGUAUGAACAUGGCCGUAGAUUGCAAACCUGGUGAAGCUUUCAAUCAGGUUGUUGAGGUGAAUGUUAAAGUUGAGAAACCUGGAGAGAACAAUGUCCACAAUAAUGCAUUUUAUGCUGAAGAGACUCUGCUUAGAUCAGAAUUGCAAGCAAUGCGGGACUGUAAUCCUCUAACAGCUCGCCAUUGGAUUGUGAGAAAUACUAGAACUGUCAAUCGGAUGGGACAAUUAGCAGGGUACAAGCUGGUACCUGGUUCAAACUGUUUGCCAUUAGCUGGCCCUGAGGCCAAGGUUUUGAGAAGAGCUGCUUUUUUGAAGCAUAAUCUUUGGGUUACACCUUAUGCAUAUGAUGAGAUGUUUCCUGGAGGAGAGUUCCCUAACCAAAAUCCACGUGUUGGAGAAGGACUUGCUACCUGGGUGAAGCAGAAUCGAUCUUUGGAAGAAACUGAUGUAGUUCUUUGGUAUGUAUUUGGGAUCACACAUGUUCCUCGGUUGGAAGACUGGCCAGUAAUGCCUGUAGAGCGCAUUGGUUUUAUGCUUAUGCCGCAUGGGUUCUUCAACUGCUCUCCUGCUGUGGAUGUCCCACCUAACGCAUGCGAAUUAGAUAACAAAGACGCUGAUGUCAAAGACAAUGGUGUAGCCAAGCCUCUUCAAAGUGUUAUGCUGGCAAAGCUUUGAAUCGCUUCCAAUUAUUAUUUUGACAGUCCCCGUACAAGAACCUCUGGAUUUGAUUCUAUGCUGGAAAGUAGGGUCUCCUCGUUCCUCCAUUUCAGUCUCAGCAUUGGCAACUAAUCAAUGAGGUAGAUCAUUGUUAGUGGUUUUUGUACACAAGAAUUUACUCUCUGAACUCAGGUUUCAUCUGACUUUUUGUUGUUAUAUUGAAGAUUUGAAUGCUGGUUUUCUUGAUUAGACCAAUAAAAGAAUGUUUUUUUUUUACUAACAAAA